CCUACGGGGGGCAGCAGUAAGGGAUAUUGGUCAAUGGGGGAAACCCUGAACCAGCAACGCCGCGUGAGGGAAGACGGUUUUCGGAUUGUAAACCUCUGUCCUCUGUGAAGAUGAUGACGGUAGCAGAGGAGGAAGCUCCGGCUCACUACGUGCAAGCAGCCGCGGUAAUACGUGGGGGGCAAGCGUUAUCCGGAUUUACUGGGUGUAAAGGGGGUGUAGGCGGCAAGGCAAGUCUGGAGUGAAAGCCCGUGGCCCAACCUCGGGACUGCUUUGGAAACUGUGUUGCUGGAGUGCAGGAGGGGUAAGCGGAAUUCCUAGUGUAGCGGUGAAAUGCGUAGAUAUUAGGAGGAACACCGGUGGCGAAGGCGGCUUACUGGACUGUAACUGACGUUGAGGCUCGAAGGCGUGGGGAGCAAACAGGAUUAGAUACCCCAGUAGUC
RNAcentral lists this ribosomal RNA (440 nucleotides) under uncultured bacterium. Its description in RNAcentral is "partial 16S ribosomal RNA". It matches the Rfam family "Bacterial small subunit ribosomal RNA", at positions 338 to 795 of the family's 1533-position model. The record is from RNAcentral.